RNAcentral lists this ribosomal RNA (367 nucleotides) under uncultured organism. Its description in RNAcentral is "bacterial LSU rRNA". It matches the Rfam family "Bacterial large subunit ribosomal RNA", at positions 2099 to 2465 of the family's 2925-position model. The record is from RNAcentral.
CUUUACUGUAACCUGGAAUUGGGUUCGGGCUUUGCUUGCGCAGGAUAGGUGGGAGGCGUUGAGAUAUUCCUUGUGGGGAAUGUGGAGCCAACGGUGAGAUACCACUCUGGUGAGGCUAGAAUUCUAACCCGAUGCCGUGAACCGGCUCGGGAACAGUUUCAGGCGGGCAGUUUGACUGGGGCGGUCGCCUCCUAAAAGGUAACGGAGGCGCGCAAAGGUUCUCUCAGGCUGGUUGGAAAUCAGCCGUAGAGUGUAAAGGCAUAAGAGAGCUUGACUGCGAGACAAACACGUCGAGCAGGGUGGAAACACGGCCUUAGUGAUCCGACGGCGCUGCGUGGAAUGGCCGUCGCUAAACGGAUAAAAGUUA